AUGCACGCUGGCGGCGUGCCUAAUACCUGCAAGUCGAGCGCACAGACGAGGAGCUUGCUCCUCUGACGUUAGCGGCGGACGGGUGAGUAACACGUGGAUAACCUACCUAUAAGACUGGGAUAACUUCGGGAAACCGGAGCUAAUACCGGAUAACAUGUUGAACCGCAUGGUUUAACAGUGAAAGACGGUCUUGCUGUCACUUAUAGAUGGAUCCGCGCCGCAUUAGCUAGUUGGUAAGGUAACGGCUUACCAAGGCAACGAUGCGUAGCCGACCUGAGAGGGUGAUCGGCCACACUGGAACUGAGACACGGUCCAGACUCCUACGGGAGGCAGCAGUAGGGAAUCUUCCGCAAUGGGCGAAAGCCUGACGGAGCAACGCCGCGUGAGUGAAGAAGGUCUUCGGAUCGUAAAACUCUGUUAUUAGGGAAGAACUAAUGUGUAAGUAACUAUGCACGUCUUGACGGUACCUAAUCAGAAAGCCACGGCUAACUACGUG
This 496-nucleotide ribosomal RNA is filed under the name uncultured bacterium. Its description in RNAcentral is "partial 16S ribosomal RNA". It matches the Rfam family "Bacterial small subunit ribosomal RNA", at positions 29 to 507 of the family's 1533-position model. The record is from RNAcentral.